Molecule: transfer RNA, 84 nt
Filed under: Streptomyces lomondensis
Lineage: Bacteria; Bacillati; Actinomycetota; Actinomycetes; Kitasatosporales; Streptomycetaceae
Description: tRNA-His
Source: RNAcentral
UGCGUUUGACGCGGCCGGGGACACGGGCUCCCCCUGUGAUGGGGAGUCGCGAGGACGGGCCGGUUCGGACACCGGCAUACGAAG